UCCUUGGCUGCGGCGCCCUCGCUCUCGCUGCUCAUCCCGGCGAUAUUCCCGCUGGGAGCAGGGCGAUCCCCGGAUCCCCGGAGCGGGCUGAGGCUCUGCGGAAGGAGGAUGAGGAGGAUGCCGCUCUGGGAGGCUUCGGGAGGCGGAGGUUCUGGGAUCCCUGCAGGGACAGCUCCCAUGGGCCGCAGGAGCUGCUGGAACCCCCUCGUGCUGGCGGUGGGGACGCAGGGCAGGAGUGGCACCCGUCCCCUCCCGAGGCAGGAUUGUCCCUGGAUGGUUCCUCCGAGCCUCGCCCGGGCGUUGGAUGCUCCCUUCUGUCAGCAGCGGGAAUGGCAGGGCCGUUCCUGCUCCUCCCAAAUCCCGUGGAUUUACUGCUUCUGGCAUCUCCUGCUGGGACUGGCUCUGGCACAGGGAAUCUCCCGAGGGACAGAUGGGGAAAAGCAGCACCUGCAGCCUGAGGCUACAAUUCCCUCUUUUUCUGGGCUACUCUGAGCAUCCUGGCUCUGCGGGAGGAAGGAUUCCAUGCACUGCUGGAGGACAAAUCCUGCUGCUCUGAUGGUCCCUGCUGGAGGCUCGGGGUGAGGGACAGAGGGACAGAAGGACAGAAGGACAGCCAGGAGCAGCUCCUGAGGCCAGGACAGACUGCAGCUGGAGCAGAAGGACAGAGGGACAGCCAGGACAGCCAGGAGCAGCUCCUGAGGCCAGCAUGGACACUGCAGCUGGAGCAGAAGGACAGAGGGACAGCCAGGACAGACAGUGCUGGGCUGCACAUCCCUGCAGGAGCUGAGCUCCUCCCCGUGGGACUGACAGCGCUCAGGAGCAAUUUCUGCCGGGCUUUGGGAAUUUGGGAAUUUCCCUGUGGAUCCUGGCCGUGGACGGAUGGUGAAGAGCUCAGUGCUUUGCUCUGGCAAGGACCAAGCACUCGCCUGCUUUCCAGUGGAUAUUUUUGGUCUUUGUUUUUGCUGGUUUUGGGGGGUUUGGGUGUUUCCUGAGGAUGCUGGAGCUGCAGUGGAUCCCCUGGUGGGGACUGGAGCCUUUGGGAGCUGAGCUGGUGCUGGGGUUCCAGGCUGGCAGAGCUCAUCCUGGGCUGGGGGGGCUCAGGAGGGUCCUGGUGCCACAGCUGGAGCAUCCCAGAGGAUCCCAGGGCAGGAAUUGGGGGAAGCCAAACCCAGCAUGGGGAAUGUCACAGUGAGGGGAAGGAGUGUCACCCUCAGAGACAAUUAAACUGCAUUUAAUAAACCCCAUGGGCUCUGUGAGUGCUGGAUGCUGUUUUCCCACGUUUCCAGGGGGUUUUGGGGAUGCUUUGGGUUCUCCAGGAAACCUUGAGAAUGACAAACUCAAAUGAACAAGCACCUUCAUUUUGCAGGAAAGUUCUCCCCUGUCCUUUCCCUCUGCCCUUUCCAGCCUUUAACCACCACUGCCAUCCCUCCUGCUCCAAAAGCCACUGAAAUGCAAAUUAUUUCCCCUAAAAUCCCGUUGUUAAUUGUGCCUGGAUCCUGUUCCCUCCCACCCUGUGAGCACCAGAAGGUGCCCUGGGGGAACAGAACGUGAGAGGGAUGUUUAGG
This is a long non-coding RNA of Camarhynchus parvulus, 1565 nucleotides long. RefSeq lists it as uncharacterized. The record is from RefSeq and is a predicted model, not a curated record. The transcript has 3 exons. Lineage: Eukaryota; Metazoa; Chordata; Aves; Passeriformes; Thraupidae.